This 253-nucleotide ribosomal RNA is filed under the name uncultured bacterium. RNAcentral's name for it is "partial 16S ribosomal RNA". It matches the Rfam family "Bacterial small subunit ribosomal RNA", at positions 524 to 776 of the family's 1533-position model. The record is from RNAcentral.
UACGGAGGGGGCAAGCGUUAUUCGGAAUCAUUGGGCGUAAAGAGCUCGUAGGCGGUUUGUCGCGUCGAAUGUGAAAACCCGGGGCUCAACCCCGGGCCUGCAUUCGAUACGGGCAGACUAGAAUUCGGUAGGGGAGUCUGGAAUUCCUGGUGUAGCGGUGAAAUGCGCAGAUAUCAGGAGGAACACCGGUGGCGAAGGCGGGACUCUGGGCCGAUACUGACGCUGAGGAGCGAAAGCGUGGGGAGCAAACAGG